RNAcentral lists this ribosomal RNA (295 nucleotides) under uncultured bacterium. RNAcentral describes it as "partial 16S ribosomal RNA". It matches the Rfam family "Bacterial small subunit ribosomal RNA", at positions 334 to 646 of the family's 1533-position model. The record is from RNAcentral.
CUCGCCUACGGGGGGCAGCAGUGGGGGAUAUUGCACAAUGGGGGAAACCCUGAUGCAGCGACGCCGCGUGGGUGAAGAAGCGCCUCGGCGCGUAAAGCCCUGUCAGCAGGGAAGAAAAUGACGGUACCUGAAGAAGAAGCCCCGGCUAACUACGUGCCAGCAGCCGCGGUAAUACGUAGGGGGCAAGCGUUAUCCGGAUUUACUGGGUGUAAAGGGGGCGCAGACGGCGAUGCAAGCCAGGAGUGAAAGCCCGGGGCCCAACCCCGGGACGUCUCUUGGACAUGCGUGGCUGGAG